UUUCGCUUUGCCCCAUUCUCGGAAAGGCUCUAGACGGACCCGCCGAGAUGGUCGCGGGCUUUAAGGCGCUUUCAGUUAAAGGACCGGGAGAAGCUAAGUGCGCGCGGCCCGCGUAGAAGUGCACAGGGGAGGGAGUUCGAGCCGAGCCAGAGCGACAGUUGGAGGGGAACGGACAAACUGCAGAAAUGCCUUGCGAGGACAUGGUGAGAAGGCAGCCAGAUGUCUGCAAGCCAGGAAGAGUACUGACCAGAAAUCAAAUCCGCUGGAAACUUGAUUGUGGACUUCUAGCCUCUGGAACUGUGAGAAAAUGAAUUUCUUUUGUUUCAAACACCCACUCUAGUAUUUUUUAUGACAGCCAAAGCAGUCUAGUACUGCGGUGAAUUACAUCGCUUAAAAAAUUUGCAUUCUUUUG
Molecule: long non-coding RNA, 412 nt
Organism: Lontra canadensis (Northern American river otter)
Lineage: Eukaryota; Metazoa; Chordata; Mammalia; Carnivora; Mustelidae
Exons: 3
Source: RefSeq, a predicted model, not a curated record